ACCAUCUUAGCUCAGUGGUAGAGCGCGUGGCUUUUAACUACGUGGUCGUGGGUUCGAUCCCACAGAUGGUG
Molecule: transfer RNA, 71 nt
Filed under: Ipomoea nil (Japanese morning glory)
Lineage: Eukaryota; Viridiplantae; Streptophyta; Magnoliopsida; Solanales; Convolvulaceae
Rfam family: tRNA
About the family: Transfer RNA (tRNA) molecules are approximately 80 nucleotides in length. Their secondary structure includes four short double-helical elements and three loops (D, anti-codon, and T loops).
Source: Rfam by way of RNAcentral